RNAcentral lists this ribosomal RNA (794 nucleotides) under Dendropsophus bifurcus (Upper Amazon treefrog). Its description in RNAcentral is "partial 16S ribosomal RNA". Lineage: Eukaryota; Metazoa; Chordata; Amphibia; Anura; Hylidae. The record is from RNAcentral.
GCGGCUGCACCACUAGGAUACCCUGAUCCAACAUCGAGGUCGUAAACCCACUUGUCGAUAGGGGCUCUUGAAGUAGAUUGCGCUGUUAUCCCUAGGGUAACUUGGUUCGUUGGUCAAAAAUGGGUCAAUUUAUGUCAAUUUAUUGGUGCUUAAAGUUGUGGCUUAUGGUUCAAAAGCGGUUUUGUUCAUCAUGGAGGUUAAUCUUUGCUCCGCGGUCACCCCAACCCAAAACUAAUAGUCAAAAAGAGCAGAAUAAGUGUAGGACUCUGAAGAGUAAAGUGUAAAAGUCAGUGCUAUAUAGUUUGAAGCUCCAUAGGGUCUUCUCGUCUAAUAUUAUAAUCCCCGCUUCUUCACGGGAAGAUCAGUUUUAUUGAUUGGAAAAAGGAGACAGUGUAACCCCUCGUGGUGCCAUUCAUACUAGUCCUCAUUUAAAGAACAAGUGAUUACGCUACCUUCGCACGGUUAGGAUACCGCGGCCGUUGAACUAAGUCACUGGGCAGGCUGGACCUCUUAUAUUGUGCAAGAGGCGAUGUUUUUGGUAAACAGGCGAGGUUAAUGUUUGCCGAGUUCCUUCUUUUUCUUUUAAUCUUUCUUGAAAUGUGCUAGUGUCAGGUUAACGUCAGUAAUAGCAGGGUUUUCUAGAGAAGUUGCUGUUUUGUAGUCAAAGACGUUGAUUAUCAGUGGCGGGUCCUUUCUGAUUUAUGCUUACAUUUAAGAGAGGCACUGCCUCUUAUUACUAGUUUUAACAUAGUGGCUUCUAUAGUAGUAUAGAAUAACUUAAUAUAAGUAAAGGG